CAGAAUCCAAGUGUAAUUCCCAUCUGUCUACAAAGCCAAAGUAAAGAAUAACAGAAAUCUGUAGAAUCCAUCCAUCCAUUGUGUUUAUGCUCUAUAAAAAUUGACACAGAAAAGCUAAAGUUUCAGUCUUUGUAUCGGAGACUGGAAACACAACCCCCACACGCCCCUCUCUCUCUCUCUCUCUCUCUCUCUCUCCCCCCUAUUCAUUCUCUCUCUCCACUCAAUUCCCUUGAUCCCUUCUCUUCCCUUUCCGAGUUUUCAAAAAGAAGAAGAAAAAAAAAAAAGAAUAAUGCAUGUCUUGAUCACAAUUCAAAACCCCAGUAUUUAUUUCCCCACAGCCACAUGGGUAUAACUCUAGAAAAACGCACUUACACCAACGCAACCUCCCAUUCCAUCCAUUUCUUUGUUUUCUUUACUACUAGCUCUUGCCUUGGAGUUGCAAAUUGUCAGGCCAUAUAUCAGAACCGAGGAAUAGAAGCUUAGGAAAUGGUGGCAAUGGUGGAAGUGUGAAUAUAGCUUGCUUAGAAUAGUCAGUUUGUGUUGGAUGGAUUUGCUUGGAGCUGUGCUGCAAUUGGCAAAUACUAAGCUGAAGGAUAAUAAUUGGCGCAAUCUUGAUCAACAGCACCGGAGAAGAAUAAGACAAUUUCAAUGUACAAAAGCACAGACGGUUUCACUUAUACAAGAAGAGUCAGAAGCAACAAGACAUACAAGAAACCCCUCAUCGAAAAUGGAUUAUUCUUCUCCUUGUGGCUGCAGCUGCAACAUGAUCAUUCCCCCAAUCAUUUAUAUUCUUGUUUGCAUUCUGUUCUUCACCUCCUCUGUUUGUCCUGCUCAUUCUCUUGAAUCCCGAAACUCCAGCCAUCAAGCCAAUCAAACUUUCCGGCCGGGGGAGGAGUCACAGAAGCUAAAAACGAUUAGAGCCCAUCUCACGAAAGUCAACAAGCCAGCUGUCAAGACAAUCCAGAGUCCGGAUGGUGAUACAAUAGAUUGUGUAUUGUCCCAUCAUCAACCAGCUUUUGAUCAUGCUAAAUUGAAAGGGAAGAAACCAUUGGAUCCACCUGAAAGGCCAAAAGGACAUGAUACAACUGGCAUUUUACCAGAAGAAUUCCAACUGUGGAGCAUGUCUGGUGAAUCAUGCCCUGAAGGUACAGUUCCAAUCCGAAGAACAAGUGAACAGGAUAUCUUGAGAGCUAAUUCGAUCGGAAGAUUUGCAAGAAAAUUACGAAGGCCUAUUCGAAGAGACACCACCAGCAAUGGCCAUGAGCAUGCUGUGGGAUAUGUAACUGGAGAUCAAUAUUAUGGAGCAAAGGCAAGCAUAAAUGUGUGGGCACCUCGAGUUGCUAGUCAGUAUGAAUUCAGCUUAUCGCAGAUGUGGGUUAUUGCCGGCUCCUUCAAUGAUGAUCUUAACACUAUAGAAGCUGGUUGGCAGGUUAGCCCAGAGCUGUACGGGGACAACUAUCCAAGAUUUUUUACAUAUUGGACAAGCGAUGCAUAUCAAGCCACAGGUUGUUAUAAUUUGCUAUGCUCAGGCUUUGUCCAGACCAAUAAUCGAAUAGCAAUCGGAGCUGCAAUUUCUCCCACGUCUUCGUAUAAUGGUGGUCAAUUUGAUAUCAGUUUAUUAAUUUGGAAGGAUCCGAAGCAUGGGAAUUGGUGGCUGGAGUUCGGAAGUGGGAUAUUAGUGGGUUACUGGCCAUCUUUUUUAUUUACGCACCUUAGGAAUUCAGCGAGUAUGGUACAAUUUGGAGGAGAAGUGGUGAACAGCAGGUCGGGUUUCCAUACAACCACCCAAAUGGGCAGUGGACAUUUUGCUGGGGAAGGUUUUGGUAAAGCAUCUUAUUUCCGAAAUUUGCAAGUGGUGGAUUGGGAUAAUAGCUUAAUCCCAUUAUCAAACCUUCGAGUAUUAGCGGAUCAUCCUAAUUGCUAUGAUAUUCAAGGUGGAAUUAAUCGCGUUUGGGGGAAUUACUUUUACUAUGGAGGACCCGGAAGAAAUUCAAGAUGCCCUUGAAAGCGUACACAUCUUUUCUUUUCCAGUUUUUCUUUUUACAACAUGAUGGGUUAUCAUCAGGAGAUCGUAAUAGAGGUUGGGUGAUUCUUUCCAAUUAUUUUCAAUCUAACAAGUGAUCUAUCCAUAAAUUAUACAUACGACUACUAGUUUGUCAGGGGGAGGGGGUUUGUGUAAAUUGUUACGAUAUCAAAUAGUGGAUAUAAUUUACUCUUAAUUUUUCGUCUGUGUUUAUCCUUCCGGCCGGCGUGUCUGAAAAGUUUCAUCAGAUUUUCUCACUGAUCAGUUGGGGACGGUUCAGACUUCUAAUCGAUGCAAUCCACAAAAUGUCUGAUAUGCAUAUUUAACAAGCUAGAAACGUUGAAGAGAGGAGGAGGAGGGGGAGGAGAAAAGAAAAAGAAAAUGAAUGCUGCCAACUAUCACUAAUGAACAGCCAGCACCUCUUAGCUUGAUUUCCAAGCGAGUGAAUGUGAUUUGCAGAUGAGUUGAUUAAUUGGAAUAUGCUGUACUGGAUUAUGAUCCAAGCAACUGUUCUCUGCUGCCUCUUAAAUGGAUCCACCAACCACCGUUGUCAACAAUUGCUGGCUUGUAGAAUAAUACUUGCUACCUGCGCACAGCCAGUUUUUAGUACAUUAAAUUAUGCAAGGCAACGAAAUUACGAUCGUGGGCCUGAAAUCAGAAACUUGCUGCUGGUAUCGAUGCACUUGCUGGCUUGCAAUCAUGGAUUGAAAUUGUGGACCUUUUGAUGCUUCCAUAUUGGAGGAGGAGAGGAUGAUGACGAUGAUGAUGAACAUUAUUAUACAUGUCUUGGGCCUUCCGGGGGGUUAUGCACUCAUGUCACAGCAGUGAUUAUGCGUAGGCUUGAUGAUUGAUCGUAAUCUGGCAAUACUAUGAUAGGCUGACCCCUAUGCUUCGUUAUAUGGUUUUGAUUUCGAGGGCGACUGCUCAUACGCCAUAAAGUUUGAACUCUGCUUCAUCUUUAUAUCUAUAAUACAAAACCUGCUAUAGACAAUAAAUAUGGAUAAUAAGAGCUACCCAUUGGUGAGAGAUUCCGUUGUG
Non-coding RNA from Coffea arabica (coffee), 3061 nucleotides. Lineage: Eukaryota; Viridiplantae; Streptophyta; Magnoliopsida; Gentianales; Rubiaceae. The record is from RefSeq and is a predicted model, not a curated record.